Molecule: non-coding RNA, 139 nt
Organism: Populus trichocarpa (black cottonwood)
Lineage: Eukaryota; Viridiplantae; Streptophyta; Magnoliopsida; Malpighiales; Salicaceae
Source: Rfam
CCUCUCACAGCUGAUGAUAUCAUCACCUAUGUGCUUGCAGGACUUGGCCAUGAAUAUGAUUCUUUAGCUUCUAUCAUCACCUCUCGUUUCGAUUCUGUCACUCUUGAGGAACUCUACUCACUUCUUCUUAUAAGUGAGU